CAGAUAUCAGUGGUUUUAUGUAUCAAAAUGCCGAAGGAUGUUUAAGACAGAUCCAAUUUACAAAAAAUAGCGCCGGCAACUACCAAACAUUCCUGUUCCAAGGAACAGGGACAAACAAAGAGGCCACACAAUAAAAAGCAUAACUGAAAAUUCCUAGAUACGUUUUCUGGAGAUAAUUCAAUCUAGACUCACUGCUCUGAAUCCCUGAUCUUUCUCAACCACAUUCGAACACACUUUGAACACACACUUUGCGAACUUUCAGAACAUCAAAUGUACAUUCCGCGGAUUAUCAGAGACUGUAAUUACUUAACAGUUAAGAAAUUGUGAGAAAUGUAAAUUGCACACGGCAGUUUGGGUAACUGUUUCGCUUUUUUAUACUUUGUUUGAAUUACUAUUAACAUAUACGACAUAAUAUGAAAACAAAUAGUGCUGUAUUUAUGUCCUUUACUUAAAGGCUACUGUUGUUCAUUUACUACAACUUUGAAUCAAACAACAAUGUGUGGAGGAUUGCAGUGUCCCUUUCGUUUUAUUCCUUUAUUUCCGUUCCUCUCAAGCUACAAUCUCCAAAACACAUUUCGAUACUAUGAUGAAAAUGAAUAUUAAACACUAA
Molecule: long non-coding RNA, 610 nt
Organism: Dreissena polymorpha
Lineage: Eukaryota; Metazoa; Mollusca; Bivalvia; Myida; Dreissenidae
Exons: 2
Source: RefSeq, a predicted model, not a curated record